CUGGUGGUUGCAGAACAGCCAUUGCACGCAAUGAGAAAGGGUCUACUAGAUGUGCUUCCAAAAAAUUCUUUAGAAGACUUAACAGCAGAGGAUUUCCGACUUUUGGUGAACGGCUGUGGUGAAGUCAAUGUGCAGAUGCUCAUCAGUUUCACGUCUUUCAAUGAUGAGUCAGGUAGGAAACUGCACGUCUUUCUGAGAGGUAAAAGCCAAGUCUUCUUCCCAAGCCCUGUAAGCAAUCAGGCCUGAGUUUUUAUUCUCAUUACAUUUAAAGGUAUGAUUAAGUAUUUUGUUAACUUAGAAUUAGGCUAUUCUUUUGUUCCUUAU
RNAcentral lists this long non-coding RNA (324 nucleotides) under Rattus norvegicus (Norway rat). RNAcentral's name for it is "long non-coding RNA NONRATT026884". Lineage: Eukaryota; Metazoa; Chordata; Mammalia; Rodentia; Muridae. The record is from RNAcentral.